GAUGAAGAACGCAGCGAAAUGCGAUACUUGGUGUGAAUUGCAGAAUCCCGUGAACCAUCGAGUCUUUGAACGCAAGUUGCGCCCGAAGCCAUUAGGCCGAGGGCACGCCUGCCUGGGCGUCACACGUCGUUGCCCCCCCAUCUACUCCUUCGGGAUUGCGGGGGGCGGAUGAUGGCCUCCCGUGCGCCUCGUCGCGCGGUUGGCCUAAAUGCCAAGUCCUCGGCGACGCACGCCACGACAAUCGGUGGUUGCGAAACCUCGGUUGCCCGUCGUGUGCGGUCGUCGCGCAUCGAGGGCUCGAAAAAAUUGCCGGGCUCCGGCUCGGCUUUCAACGCGACCCCAGGUCAGGCGGGGUUACCCGCUGAAUUUAAGCAUAUCAAUAAGCGGAGGA
RNAcentral lists this unclassified non-coding RNA (391 nucleotides) under soil metagenome. Its description in RNAcentral is "partial contains 5.8S ribosomal RNA, internal transcribed spacer 2, and large subunit ribosomal RNA". The stretch from base 1 to 122 matches the Rfam family "5.8S ribosomal RNA", at positions 35 to 154 of the family's 154-position model. The record is from RNAcentral.